CAGGGAAUCUUGCGCAAUGGACGAAAGUCUGAUGCAGCGACGCCGCGUGGGGGAUGAAGGCCCUAGGGUCGUAAACCCCUUUCAGUGGGGACGAAACGGACGGUACCCACAGAAGAAGGUCCGGCCAACAACGUGCCAGCAGCCGGGGUAAGACGUAGGGACCGAGCGUUGUCCGGAAUUAUUGGGCGUAAAGAGCUCGUAGGCGGUUGCGUAAGUCGGAUGUGAAAGCUCAGGGCUCAACCCUGUGACGCCAUCCGAUACUGCGCUGACUUGAAUCCAGUAGGGGAGUGUGGAAUUCCUGGUGUAGCGGUGAAAUGCACAGAUAUCAGGAGGAACACCUAUGGCGAAGGCAGCACUCUGGGCUGGUAUUGACGCUGAGGAGCGAAAGCAUGGGUAGCAAACAGGAUUAGAUACCCCCGUAGUCC
RNAcentral lists this ribosomal RNA (425 nucleotides) under uncultured prokaryote. Its description in RNAcentral is "bacterial SSU rRNA". It matches the Rfam family "Bacterial small subunit ribosomal RNA", at positions 355 to 796 of the family's 1533-position model. The record is from RNAcentral.